Molecule: long non-coding RNA, 419 nt
Filed under: Homo sapiens (human)
Lineage: Eukaryota; Metazoa; Chordata; Mammalia; Primates; Hominidae
Description: non-protein coding lnc-TSPAN11-11:1
Source: RNAcentral
AGCAUGGGCUACUGCAUCCUUUGUGUACACGGACUGAGCAAGCUCUUGCACUUGACUGAAUUAAAGUGGGGCCCCACCCUGAUUGUGUCCACUGUGUUGCUGCUGCUGCUUUUCUCUUGGAAAACUGAAACAGAAUAAAUUUGGCUGUCCAGAAAGUCCCUAUAUAGUCUGGAGUUCAAAAUCUGCCUCACAAUGCCAAGGUUUACUACAACUAUGCCAAUUUCCUGAAGACCCAGGUCAGAACAAGGAAGGAACCUACCGCUAUAGAACGGCCCUCACAUCAUAUUGCACCAUGCGAGUGCCCCGAACAACCUUGAAACCCUGACAAGAGACACAGCAGGGACAAAAAAUGCAGUCAAAGGGCUCUCCAGCUCCAUCCACAGCAUAACCCAGCUCUUGCCAAGAUUGACAAGAUCUUG